UACGUAGGUGACAAGCGUUAUCCGGAAUUACUGGGCGUAAAGCGCACGCAGGCGGCGCACUAAGUCUGACGUGAAAUCUCUCGGCUUAACCGGGAGGGGUCGCUGGAGACUGGUGGGCUUGAGGCGAUGAGAGGGGUGUAGAAUUCCCGGUGUAGUGGUGGAAUGCGUAGAUAUCGGGAGGAAUACCAGUGGCGAAAGCGGCAUCCUGGCAUUAGCCUGACGCUCAUGUGCGAAAGCGUGGGGAGCGAACGGG
RNAcentral lists this ribosomal RNA (253 nucleotides) under uncultured bacterium. Its description in RNAcentral is "partial 16S ribosomal RNA". It matches the Rfam family "Bacterial small subunit ribosomal RNA", at positions 524 to 776 of the family's 1533-position model. The record is from RNAcentral.